Molecule: long non-coding RNA, 4499 nt
Organism: Parus major (Great Tit)
Lineage: Eukaryota; Metazoa; Chordata; Aves; Passeriformes; Paridae
Exons: 4
Source: RefSeq, a predicted model, not a curated record
GCAAUAAGUCUACCAAUUUAACUGUUUUAUCUCCUUUUCCCAGAAUUAUCUCUGUUGAAAGGGUUAAACUUUUGGUGGCAAUAGAAGAAAAAAGUCUGUUCCUUGAGUUAUGAUCUACUUUUCCUCUUAAGCUUCUCCUAGCUGUGAGGUCUUUACACGCUGCAGUUUCUCCAGCUCCUGUACUACUCCUUACAUCUAAUUUUUAGUAUUUAAUUACUUAUGUCAACCUUCCUUCAAAUGAGGGUUCCACUGUUCUGGAUUCUAGUAUUGGUAGUGUUUGGGGUAGACUUGCUGCAGCAAAGUUGGACUUCACUGUUCCUGGUUUUUUUAAUCACAAAGUCACUGUGUGGAAUGGAACAUUUUCUCAGUUUAUAUUCUGGAUCUCUCUGGUUUCUUCAGCAUGUAAUAGCAAAAAAAAGAGUGAUCUUUAACAAGCUGUUACAUUUAUGUGUUAUAUAUCAUGUAGCUGUUUUUUUGCUAACAUACGGAUUUAGGAAAUUAAGAUCAUGUUUUCUGAAAAUGAUAAUCCUUUCUAUAUUUAUUUAUAUUUUGCAUACAAAUUACAUCUCUUCCUUUUCAAAAAUUGAGUCAGAAUGCUUCCAGCUCAAGCAUUUUGUCCCUCCAUUUUUAUUUUUUUUUUUUAUUUUGCUCUUUAUUUGAGUUCUGUGAUGGGUUAAAAGUUACUUUAGGAUUGUUCUGUAUCUGCCAAUGUGUUUGUAUUGUUUCUCAAUUGGAAAAUGAGAAUCUGAUCACAGUGAAUACUUUGAGCAGUUAGCAGCAAAUACAAGAGGUCAUUACUUUUGUGAGAAAGAAUACAUCAAACUUUGGAUGUCAAAACUGGAAUUAAUACCUAUGACAGGAAGCAAGGGGCUUAGAACUUGAGUGUCUUCUGUUUAUAAUAUGUUUUUAGCAACAUUUGAGUUCUAACAAAAUCUUUUUUCUAUUGAAUUUGUUUGGGUUUUUUUGUUUUUGUUUUUUUGACAUUUCUAAAUUGACUGUUGAUAGCUGCUGAGAUUCCUUGAAGGGAAAAACAGGAAUGUUCAUAAACCCAGUCAGAAUGUCAAAGUGAGGACAGCUGAAUUAGGUAUUGUAACACAAGGACUUAGUCCAAGGGGAGGACUGCAAAAAUUCUUCCACAGGCAGUGAAGACAAGAUUUGAGUAACCACUGUCAGAGAUCAGUAGCACAGAUAAUCCAGCAGCAGUGGCACAUUCAAGGUGUAACUGUAGUGGUGGUGUUUUUAUGGGGACUGGCAGAAGCAGCACUUUUUUUAGCUGUUAAAUACUUUUCGCUUACCACUUGAAAUACAAGGUUUGCUCUUGCAGAUUUGUGGACUUUGCUUUUUCAUUCUCUAAGCUGAUUUUAGAGGCUAUAUUGAACAGGAUGUUCAAAUAAUUCUGGCAUUCCUUAAGGACUGACUAGAGUUUGAAAAUUGGGUACCUUAAUCCAUCCUUUCCUUUCAGAAUUGUUUUUUUUCUGACAAAUUCUUGUUACACUAAACAAAUGAAGCCAUAUAGCAAACAUUUCAGUAAUCAGGCCAACAUAAAGUACUCAUAAAUUAUCACCAAGCAGCUCUAAAUCUGUCAUAAACUCUUACUGACUGGCUCACAGGAAUGUUUAUGUAAUUGAGAGAAACUAUAGAAAGGAAGUUAAGUCUCCUUUUACAAGUUAAAUCAACUACAGCGAGAUGAAAAACACCCACGCAUUUGGCUUUGGAUCAGCAGAGACGUUCUUGAAAAGCAAACCUUUAUGAAAUCUUAAUUAUGAAACCAAUUUCAAGGUGAAAAAAAAUUAUCAGUUUUCCAGGUGUCAUAGAUUGUACUCUGCUUGCAUAUUCCUUGUAUAACAGGCUAUCACCUUUAUCAAGGAGAUACAGAUUUGGAAUCAUUCUAGCAAAUAAAUUUUGACAUGGGUUGGAGCACAGAUGUAAUGUAGGAUGUGUAAAAGCUGGAAAGCUUUGAGAGGGGUCCAAGAAGUCACAGUUCCACAGAUGUGAAAAAAGCCACCACACCACCAAACCUGCUGAACGAGAUGUUAUCUUACAUGACAUGCCUUUAAAAAAGGUGUAUAAGCUGCAGUGCAACACAGACAAAUACAUUAAGAAAUUAUUUUUAUCUUUUAGAGUGCAAGUUACGAAGUAUAAGAGCAACUGGCAAGGGUUUUUAAAGCAAGGAGUGAAAUACCAAUAAGGAAACCAAAUGAGAGAUUAAUAUUAAACCUAUGUUAUUAACAAAAAGAAGCUUAUUCCACUGAGCACAGUGACAUAGGUUUGAAAUGUGAUGUUGGAAAUAUGGCACUAGAAAUUGAUAAUCUUAACAGAACAGGUAGCAAGGAUGCAUUUGUUCAAACGAAAGAAUUUUGAACCACCAAGUCCAAAUGAGAAACAGACAUUUUUCUGCAACAGGUAAGAUGAAGAGUCACACCUGGUAAAAUUUAUCACACUUUAAAAAAAUGAGAAAUUCCAAAAAGUUGUGAAUCGCUGCAGUUUUGGUGUUUUUACAGAGGUGACUGAGGCAGCUACUGCCCUGAAGUCAGUCCUGAGGAAAACAGUGGAAAGGCAGAUUUGAGGUUAUAUGGAAAAGCAGCAUCUACUUUGAGCACCACAGGAUUUUUCUAGGUAUUACUGACCGCUGUGGUUUUUUGAGAGACUGUUUUUGGCAAAUGGUACUGACAGAUUUCUAAUUGUUUUGCUUAUGCCUUUUUUGGUUUGUUUUUAACACAUUAUUGUCAGUACAUAAACUUUGGAUUGCUUAAAGGAAUUUGAUUUAUUAUCACACCAUAUUUUGAUCUAAAACAAACUUGUAAAAUCUUAUUCAACAAAGGAAUUAGCUCUUAGUUCCUACAUUUCUAUGCAAAAUGUAGUCUAAACAAACAUCUCAGGAAACCAUUCUGUUUCUGCUUAAAUGCUUCCAGAUGUUCAGUGUGUUUCAAAUGUUAUGGGUUAUUAUAAAGCUAAGAACUUUAUUUCCUUGCUUUAUAUGUCUCACCUUAAAAUAGGUAUGGAAAGGAACUUCAGAGACCCUUUGAUAAUGUUCCUUGCCUCAGAUCUGCAAAAGUCUGCUCUAGAGAAGGGGCUGUAAUGAAAUACUAGGAUGCAGAGGUUUUCUUGGUCAUCUGCAGAUCAGGAAGAAUUUCAUUCUUGUACUGUGUAAUUUGAUCUUUAAAUCUUUUCACCUGCCUAUGAGAUUGGCUUUAGGAUGUGCAGUAUUGAACACAGGUGAUCUGUACCUUCAGGUGCAAUAGAUACUCAUAUUUUUGUUUCCUUGCAGAUUGCAUCAUGCCAGCUGGACUUCUGGCUGGGAAACAGAUAUCCCCAAAGUCAGACUGGCAGGAAUAUUUCCCCCCAUCUUCGUCUGUGGAGCUGGCUGAUCACUGCCGAAAGCUAAAGAUGGAGCUUGGGCUGAUACCCCCACUCCUUGAGGCUCAACUCUUUGCCCUUCAAAAUAAUGUAAAGGCAUGAGGACUUCACUGAUCCUGAGGGGAAUUUUUCACAGGUAUGUGUCCUCACUCCUUUAGUGUGUGUCUGCCAAGUGUGAAUAUAGCAUUGCAAAUCGUUGUGGUUUAAAAGCAAACAGUUGCUUCCCUUCUCCCCAGUCCCCUCCAGUGAGAUAGGGACAAAAAGGCAGAGAUUAUGGGUUGAGAUAACAAUUUACUAGAGAAAAAGUAAUGAGAGAAAGAAAACAGUAACAGCAAAUGGUACUCAUAAAACAGUGCAUAAAAGAGGUGAUUUACAUACAAAAAGGUGUUCACCACCCCCACCCAGCUCCACAUGGCUACCAAGACAAAGACAAAAUGGUGGAUGGUACCACAGCCCUGCAGCUGUGGCUCUUCCCAAGACAAACAAUAUAUGGUAGAUGUUCUCACAGCUGGUGUCCUCCUUCCCCAAGACCAAGACAACAAACAAGGAUGGACAAACCUUCCAAGCCUUCUUCCUCUGCACAUCACCGACUGCUCUGCCUGCACUGACUGCCCUGUGCCACCCCAAGGGAUGUGGUCACCGCUUUGCUCCUCCAGAAAAAAGGAACAAAAUUGGUGCCAUUUCUGCUGUGCACUCAGCUUUCCUUCCACCUGAAACCAUGUCCCCUGCAAUGACCUGGAUGGUUUAGAAUAGCACGCCAGCCACACCCACACACUUCUAGGCCCUGCCCCUCUCAGCAAGGGCGAGAGAAUGAACUCUCCUGGCCAGAACCAGGACACUCAGGCACUGUGAGUGUUGAUCUCUGCAAUCUCAUACCAGGAACUUAAAUGAAAAGGCACCUCAACCAAAAAAAGACAAAAGAUCAAGUGGUAACUCCUUUGGCUUACUGCAAGUUUGUAGAAAUCCCUUUGGAUCUGAAGAAGGGACUGCUAAAUCACUGUCCCAUUCUAGAGGAGACCCUGUGGGCUUCUCUCCAGCUGUCUUACACUAGUAUUGGAUCCAGCCCCUCUUGCACUGUUGCAAUGUGACACUCGGCCCCGCUCUAUUUCAGAACUGCUGCGCUGACCCAUCCUCCUCCAGAG